This 484-nucleotide ribosomal RNA is filed under the name uncultured bacterium. Its description in RNAcentral is "partial 16S ribosomal RNA". It matches the Rfam family "Bacterial small subunit ribosomal RNA", at positions 30 to 507 of the family's 1533-position model. The record is from RNAcentral.
AUUGAACGCUGGCGGCAGGCCUAACACAUGCAAGUCGAGCGGAUGAAGGGAGCUUGCUCCUGGAUUCAGCGGCGGACGGGUGAGUAAUGCCUAGGAAUCUGCCUGGUAGUGGGGGAUAACGUCCGGAAACGGGCGCUAAUACCGCAUACGUCCUGAGGGAGAAAGUGGGGGAUCUUCGGACCUCACGCUAUCAGAUGAUCCUAGGUCGGAUUAGCUAGUUGGUGGGGUAAAGGCCUACCAAGGCGACGAUCCGUAACUGGUCUGAGAGGAUGAUCAGUCACACUGGAACUGAGACACGGUCCAGACUCCUACGGGAGGCAGCAGUGGGGAAUAUUGGACAAUGGGCGAAAGCCUGAUCCAGCCAUGCCGCGUGUGUGAAGAAGGUCUUAGGAUUGUAAAGCACUUUAAGUUGGGAGGAAGGGCAGUAAGUUAAUACCUUGCUGUUUUGACGUUACCAACAGAAUAAGCACCGGCUAACUUCGUG